This 254-nucleotide ribosomal RNA is filed under the name uncultured bacterium. Its description in RNAcentral is "partial 16S ribosomal RNA". It matches the Rfam family "Bacterial small subunit ribosomal RNA", at positions 524 to 776 of the family's 1533-position model. The record is from RNAcentral.
CACGUAGGGUGCGAGCGUUGUCCGGAAUUAUUGGGCGUAAAGAGCUCGUAGGCGGUGUGUCGCGUCGGCCGUGAAAACCUGCAGCUUAACUGUGGGCGUGCGGUCGAUACGGGCAUCACUGGAGUUCGGCAGGGGAGACUGGAACUCCUGGUGUAGCGGUGAAAUGCGCAGAUAUCAGGAGGAACACCGGUGGCGAAGGCGGGUCUCUGGGCCGAUACUGACGCUGAGGAGCGAAAGCGUGGGGAGCAAACAGG